AUGAAGGGGUGGGGCGCCAACCUGGGGCGUGACCUCCGCGAGCGUAAGAAGGCUCUACUGUCUACGACCCAAGCCUUGGACCUGCGCGCCGAUGCUACCGGCCUCUCUCCCGAGGAGUGGCUCUCCCGCUACGACUUGGAAGAUCAGCUCUCUAUCAUCUACGCCGAUGAAGAGGCCUACUGGCGUUUGCGUGGUGCUCAGAAAUGGGUUCUGAAGGGAGACGCGAAUACGACAUAUUUCCAAGCCAUUGCUACUGGCCGACGUAGGCGCAACACCAUCCCUCUCCUUUGGGAUGGCUUGACCCUCCUGCAGUCCCCGCGGGACAUUAGGUCCCACGUCGACGGCUUCUAUAGGUCCCUGUUCACAGCCGCUCCUCGGAGCGGCUUAUCUCUGGCCCCUGACUGUUGG
RNAcentral lists this ribosomal RNA (408 nucleotides) under Triticum aestivum (bread wheat). RNAcentral describes it as "partial small subunit ribosomal RNA". The record is from RNAcentral. Lineage: Eukaryota; Viridiplantae; Streptophyta; Magnoliopsida; Poales; Poaceae.